UUUUAUUUUAUUAGAGGAACCUGUUUAUUAAUCGACAAUACACGAUAAUUUUUACUUAAAUUAUUAAUUAUAAAUUUAUAUACCGCCGUCAUAAGAACUAAUUUAAUAAUAUUAUUCUACAAAAAGUUAGGUAAAGGUGUAAUUAAUUUUAUAGUUUAAAUUGGUUACAUUAAAAAUAAUUUAAGAAUUAUUUUCAUAAAUUUUUUUAUUAAAAAGAAUUUAAAAGUAUUAUUAAUAAUAAUAUUAUAAUAAG
This 253-nucleotide ribosomal RNA is filed under the name Allotrochosina schauinslandi. RNAcentral describes it as "partial 12S ribosomal RNA". Lineage: Eukaryota; Metazoa; Arthropoda; Arachnida; Araneae; Lycosidae. The record is from RNAcentral.